UAGGUCGGGAACUCAAAGGAGACUGCCAGUGAUAAACUGGAGGAAGGUGGGGAUGACGUCAAGUCAUCAUGGCCCUUACGACCAGGGCUACACACGUGCUACAAUGGCGCAUACAAAGAGAAGCGACCUCGCGAGAGCAAGCGGACCUCAUAAAGUGCGUCGUAGUCCGGAUUGGAGUCUGCAACUCGACUCCAUGAAGUCGGAAUCGCUAGUAAUCGUGGAUCAGAAUGCCACGGUGAAUACGUUCCCGGGCCUUGUACACACCGCCCGUCACACCAUGGGAGUGGGUUGCAAAAGAAGUAGGUAGCUUAACCUUCGGGAGGGCGCUUACCACUUUGUGAUUCAUGACUGGGGUGAAGUCGUAACAAGGUAACCGUAGGGGAACCUGC
Molecule: ribosomal RNA, 389 nt
Filed under: Salmonella enterica
Lineage: Bacteria; Pseudomonadati; Pseudomonadota; Gammaproteobacteria; Enterobacterales; Enterobacteriaceae
Also listed under: 5 other names
Description: bacterial SSU rRNA
Rfam family: Bacterial small subunit ribosomal RNA
Source: RNAcentral